Molecule: ribosomal RNA, 918 nt
Filed under: Gymnopilus sapineus
Lineage: Eukaryota; Fungi; Basidiomycota; Agaricomycetes; Agaricales; Galerinaceae
Description: LSU rRNA
Rfam family: Eukaryotic large subunit ribosomal RNA
Source: RNAcentral
GCAUAUCAAUAAGUCGGAGGAAAAAAAAACUAACAAGGAUUCCCCCUAGUAACUGCGAGUGAAGCGGGAAAAGCUCAAAUUUAAAAGCUGACGGUCUUUGGCCGUCCGCAUUGUAAUCUAGAGAAGUGUUACCCGCGUUGGACCGUGUACAAGUCUCCUGGAAUGGAGCAUCAUAGAGGGUGACAAUCCCGUCUUUGACACGGACUCCCAAGGCUUUGUGGUGCGCUCUCAAAGAGUCGAGUUGUUUGGGAAUGCAGCUCAAAAUGGGUGGUAAAUUCCAUCUAAAGCUAAAUAUUGGCGAGAGACCGAUAGCGAACAAGUACCGUGAGGGAAAGAUGAAAAGAACUUUGGAAAGAGAGUUAAACAGUACGUGAAAUUGCUGAAAGGGAAACGCUUGAAGUCAGUCGCGUCGUCCGGAGAUCAACCUUGCUUUUGCUGGGCGUACUCUCUGGUUGACGGGCCAGCAUCAGUUUUGGCCACUGGAAAAGGGCGGAAUGGAAUGUGGCAUCUUCGGAUGUGUUAUAGCCUUCCGUCGUAUACAGUGGCUGGGACUGAGGAACUCAGCACGCCGCAAGGCCGGGAUUUUAUCCACGUUCGUGCUUAGGAUGCUGGCAUAAUGGCUUUAAUCGACCCGUCUUGAAACACGGACCAAGGAGUCUAACAUACCUGCGAGUGUUUGGGUGGAAAACCCGAGCGCGUAAUGAAAGUGAAAGUUGAGAUCCCUGUCGUGGGGAGCAUCGACGCCCGGACCAGACCUUUUGUGACGGAUCUGCGGUAGAGCAUGUAUGUUGGGACCCGAAAGAUGGUGAACUAUGCCUGAAUAGGGUGAAGCCAGAGGAAACUCUGGUGGAGGCUCGUAGCGAUUCUGACGUGCAAAUCGAUCGUCAAAUUUGGGUAUAGGGGCGAAAGACUAAUCGA